UGGGGAAUAUUGCACAAUGGGCGCAAGCCUGAUGCAGCGACGCCGCGUGAGGGAUGAAGGCCUUCGGGUUGUAAACCUUUUUCGCUCAUGGUCAAGCCGCAGCUUUGGGUUGUGGUGAGGGUAGUGGGUAAAGAAGCGCCGGCUAACUACGUGCCAGCAGCCGCGGUAAUACGUAGGUGGCAAGCGUUGUCCGGAAUUAUUGGGCGUAAAGCGCGCGCAGGUGGUUUAGAAAGUCUGAUGUGAAAGCCCACGGCUCAACCGUGGAGGGUCAUUGGAAACUAAUAAACUUGAGUGCAGGAGAGAAAAGUGGAAUUCCUAGUGUAGCGGUGAAAUGCGUAGAGAUUAGGAGGAACACCGGUGGCGAAAGCGGCUUUUUGGCCUGCAACUGACACUGAGGCGCGAAAGCGUGGGGAGCAAACAGG
RNAcentral lists this ribosomal RNA (422 nucleotides) under Verrucomicrobiota bacterium. RNAcentral describes it as "Verrucomicrobia bacterium partial 16S ribosomal RNA". It matches the Rfam family "Bacterial small subunit ribosomal RNA", at positions 355 to 776 of the family's 1533-position model. Lineage: Bacteria; Pseudomonadati; Verrucomicrobiota. The record is from RNAcentral.